UACGAGGGGUCCUAGCGUUGUUCGGAAUCAUUGGGCGUAAAGCGUCUGUAGGCGGCUUUGUAAGUCGGGUGUGAAAGCCCCAGGCUCAACCUGGGGAAGUGCAUUCGAUACUGCAUAGCUUGAAUGUUGGAGAGGAUAGUAGAAUUCCAGGUGUAGUGGUGAAAUACGUAGAUAUCUGGAGGAAUACCGGUGGCGAAGGCGGCUAUCUGGCCAAACAUUGACGCUGAGAGACGAAAAGCAUGGGGGAUCAAACAGG
Molecule: ribosomal RNA, 256 nt
Filed under: uncultured bacterium
Lineage: Bacteria
Description: partial 16S ribosomal RNA
Rfam family: Bacterial small subunit ribosomal RNA
Source: RNAcentral